Nothoprocta perdicaria is the source of this 278-nucleotide long non-coding RNA. RefSeq lists it as uncharacterized. Lineage: Eukaryota; Metazoa; Chordata; Aves; Tinamiformes; Tinamidae. The transcript is spliced from 3 exons. The record is from RefSeq and is a predicted model, not a curated record.
GACAUCAACUGGAAUUUUUAUUGCCCACUCACAACGUCUUUAUGCAAAAGUUCACACUUAGCACUUGAAAUUGCUGCAUUGCUAAAGAAUUUUGAAACAGAAAGCAGCCAUGUCCCUGGACAGUGAUGUGUACUGCUCUUCUCCAGUGGUUUCAGAUAUCUCCUUUGUACUGCAAUCCUGAACUGUGUAGACUUUGGACAACACUACUGGCAUCCUGCUAGUCCUGCAGAGGUUCUCACAGGUCACCCAGUGACCAGCACUGCACACAGCAUCACUGG